CCUACGGGCGGCAGCAGUGAGGAAUAUUGCUCAAUGGGCGUAAGCCUGAACCAGCCAAGUCGCGUGAGGGAUGAAGGUUCUAUGGAUCGUAAACCUCUUUUAUAAGGGAAUAAAGUGUGGGACGUGUCCUGUUUUGUAUGUACCUUAUGAAUCAGGAUCGGCUAACUCCGUGCCAGCAGCCGCGGUAAUACGGAGGAUCCGAGCGUUAUCCGGAUUUAUUGGGUUUAAAGGGUGCGUAGGCGGCCUUUUAAGUCAGCGGUGAAAGUCUGUGGCUCAACCAUAGAAUUGCCGUUGAAACUGGGAGGCUUGAGUAUGUUUGAGGCAGGUGGAAUGCGUGGUGUAGCGGUGAAAUGCUUAGAUAUCACGCAGAACCCUGAUUGCGAAGGCAGCCUGCCAGGACAUGACUGACGCUGAUGCACGAAAGCGUGGGGAUCAAACAGGAUUAGAUACCCCAGUAGUC
Molecule: ribosomal RNA, 460 nt
Filed under: uncultured bacterium
Lineage: Bacteria
Description: partial 16S ribosomal RNA
Rfam family: Bacterial small subunit ribosomal RNA
Source: RNAcentral